UACGUAGGGGGCAAGCGUUGUUCGGAAUUACUGGGCGUAAAGGGCGCGUAGGCGGCACAGCAAGUCGGGAGUGAAAGCCCGGGGCUCAACCCCGGAAUGGCUUUCGAAACUGCUGAGCUAGAGUACAGAAGGGGCAACCGGAAUUCCCAGUGUAGCGGUGAAAUGCGUAGAUAUUGGGAAGAACACCUGAGGCGAAGGCGGGUUGCUGGGCUGAUACUGACGCUGAGGCGCGAAAGCCAGGGGAGCAGACGGG
This 253-nucleotide ribosomal RNA is filed under the name uncultured bacterium. RNAcentral describes it as "partial 16S ribosomal RNA". It matches the Rfam family "Bacterial small subunit ribosomal RNA", at positions 524 to 776 of the family's 1533-position model. The record is from RNAcentral.